AAUAGAUACCCCGGUAGUCCACGCCGUAAACGAUGGAUGCUAGCUAUUGGGGGGAAUCGACCCCCUCCGAAGCGAAGCUAACGCGUUAAGCAUCCCGCCUGAGUAGUACGAGCGCAAGCUUAAAACUCAAAGGAAUUGACGGGGACCCGCACAAGCGGUGGAGCGUGUGGUUUAAUUCGAUGGUAAACGAAGAACCUUACCAAGGUUUGACAUCCCGGUAGCCGUUCUCCGAAAGGAGAAUUUCAUUUAGUUGGACCGGUGACAGGUGAUGCAUGGCCGUCGUCAGCUCGUGUCGUGAGAUGUUGGGUUAAGUCCCGCAACGAGCGCAACCCUUAUGAUUUAGUUGGAUUUUUCUAAACAGACUGCCCUGGUAACAGGGAGGAAGGAGGGGAUGAUGUCAGGUCAGUAUUUCCCUUACACCUUGGGCGACACACGCGCUACAAUGGCCGGUACAAUGGGCAGCUAAGCCGCGAGGCGGAGCAAAUCCCAUCAAAGCCGGUCCCAGUUCGGAUUGCAGGCUGAAACCCGCCUGCAUGAAGCCGGAAUCGCUAGUAACC
RNAcentral lists this ribosomal RNA (557 nucleotides) under uncultured bacterium. RNAcentral describes it as "bacterial SSU rRNA". It matches the Rfam family "Bacterial small subunit ribosomal RNA", at positions 777 to 1343 of the family's 1533-position model. The record is from RNAcentral.